UGGGGAAUAUUGCACAAUGGGGGAAACCCUGAUGCAGCGACGCCGCGUGAGCGAUGAAGGCUUUCGAGUCGUAAAGCUCUGUCCUAUGGGAAGAUAAUGACGGUACCAUAGAAGAAAGCCCCGGCUAAUUACGUGCCAGCAGCCGCGGUAAUACGUAAGGGGCGAGCGUUGUCCGGAAUUAUUGGGCGUAAAGAGUGCGUAGGCGGCAAAUUAAGUCAGAUGUGAAAACUAAGGGCUCAACCCAUAGAUUGCAUCUGAAACUGAUAUGCUUGAGUCAAGGAGAGGAAAGUGGAAUUCCUAGUGUAGCGGUGGAAUGCGUAGAUAUUAGGAGGAAUACCGGUGGCGAAUGCGACUUUCUGGACUUUUACUGACGUUCAGGUACGAAAGCGUGGGGAGCAAACAGG
This 404-nucleotide ribosomal RNA is filed under the name Verrucomicrobiota bacterium. Its description in RNAcentral is "Verrucomicrobia bacterium partial 16S ribosomal RNA". It matches the Rfam family "Bacterial small subunit ribosomal RNA", at positions 355 to 776 of the family's 1533-position model. The record is from RNAcentral. Lineage: Bacteria; Pseudomonadati; Verrucomicrobiota.